GAUGAACGCUAGCGGCAGGCUUAACACAUGCAAGUCGAGGGGUAUUGGUUUUCGGACCAAGAGACCGGCGCACGGGUGCGUAACGCGUAUGCAAUCUACCUUUCACAGAGGGAUAGCCCAGAGAAAUUUGGAUUAAUACCUCAUAGUAUUAUAGGAUGGCAUCAUUUUAUAAUUAAAGUCACAACGGUGAAAGAUGAGCAUGCGUCCCAUUAGCUUGUUGGUAAGGUAACGGCUUACCAAGGCUACGAUGGGUAGGGGUCCUGAGAGGGAGAUCCCCCACACUGGUACUGAGACACGGACCAGACUCCUACGGGAGGCAGCAGUGAGGAAUAUUGGUCAAUGGACGCAAGUCUGAACCAGCCAUGCCGCGUGCAGGAUGACGGUCCUAUGGAUUGUAAACUGCUUUUGCACAGGAAGAAACAACAUUACGUGUAAUGUCUUGACGGUACUGUGAGAAUAAGGAUCGGCUAACUCCGUGCCAGCCGCCGCAGUAA
Molecule: ribosomal RNA, 494 nt
Filed under: uncultured bacterium
Lineage: Bacteria
Description: partial 16S ribosomal RNA
Rfam family: Bacterial small subunit ribosomal RNA
Source: RNAcentral